This 126-nucleotide small nucleolar RNA is filed under the name Cephalotus follicularis. RNAcentral describes it as "Small nucleolar RNA SNORD14". It matches the Rfam family "Small nucleolar RNA SNORD14". Rfam says of the family: U14 small nucleolar RNA (U14 snoRNA) is required for early cleavages of eukaryotic precursor rRNAs. In yeasts, this molecule possess a stem-loop region (known as the Y-domain) which is essential for function. A similar structure, but with a different consensus sequence, is found in plants, but is absent in vertebrates. Lineage: Eukaryota; Viridiplantae; Streptophyta; Magnoliopsida; Oxalidales; Cephalotaceae. The record is from Rfam by way of RNAcentral.
UGUUGAUGAUGACAAAUCCAAUGGCUUGUUUCUAAAAAACAUUUGCAGUGGCCGCCUAAGAGAUUUCGCCUUCGUCUAGGCUUGAGAGCUAGUGCUGCUUCUAUCCUUCCUUGGAUGUCUGAAACA